RNAcentral lists this transfer RNA (75 nucleotides) under Clostridiales bacterium. RNAcentral describes it as "tRNA-Gln". It matches the Rfam family "tRNA". Rfam says of the family: Transfer RNA (tRNA) molecules are approximately 80 nucleotides in length. Their secondary structure includes four short double-helical elements and three loops (D, anti-codon, and T loops). Lineage: Bacteria; Bacillati; Bacillota; Clostridia; Eubacteriales. The record is from RNAcentral. RNAcentral also lists the same sequence under 2 other names.
UGGGGCGUAGCCAAGGGGUAAGGCACGGGUCUUUGACUCCCGCAUUCGUAGGUUCAAAUCCUGCCGCCCCAGCCA